UAUCACCUAGAGAUGAGUCCAUGUCCCAUCAGGUUGUUGGUGAGGUAACGGCCCACCAAGCCUAAGACGGGUAGCCGGCCUUAGCGGGUGAUCGGCCACACGGGGACUGAGACACGGCCCCGACUCCUACGGGAGGCAGCAGUGGGGAAUAUUGGACAAUGGGCGCAAGCCUGAUCCAGCAAUACCGCGUGAGGGAUGAAGGCCCUAGGGUCGUAAACCUCUGUCAGUUGGAACGAUGGGUUUGUAGGUUAAUACCCUGCAAACUUGACGGUACCUUCAAAGGAAGCCCCGGCUAACUCCGUGCCAGCAGCCGCGGUAAUACGGAGGGGGCAAGCGUUGCUCGGAAUUACUGGGCGUAAAGGGUCCGUAGGUGGCUUUGUAAGUUAGAUGUGAAAUCUCAGGGCUCAAC
This 409-nucleotide ribosomal RNA is filed under the name uncultured bacterium. RNAcentral's name for it is "bacterial SSU rRNA". It matches the Rfam family "Bacterial small subunit ribosomal RNA", at positions 213 to 613 of the family's 1533-position model. The record is from RNAcentral.